RNAcentral lists this ribosomal RNA (468 nucleotides) under uncultured bacterium. RNAcentral's name for it is "partial 16S ribosomal RNA". It matches the Rfam family "Bacterial small subunit ribosomal RNA", at positions 28 to 507 of the family's 1533-position model. The record is from RNAcentral.
GACGAACGCUGGCGGCGUGCUUAACACAUGCAAGUCGAACGGAAAGGCCCUGCUUUUGUGGGGUGCUCGAGUGGCGAACGGGUGAGUAACACGUGAGUAACCUGCCCUUGACUUUGGGAUAACUUCAGGAAACUGGGGCUAAUACCGGAUAGGAGCUCCUGCUGCAUGGUGGGGGUUGGAAAGUUUCGGCGGUUGGGGAUGGACUCGCGGCUUAUCAGCUUGUUGGUGGGGUAGUGGCUUACCAAGGCUUUGACGGGUAGCCGGCCUGAGAGGGUGACCGGCCACAUUGGGACUGAGGUACGGCCCAGACUCCUACGGUAGGCAGCAGUGGGGAAUAUUGCACAAUGGGCGGAAGCCUGAUGCAGCAACGCCGCGUGCGGGAUGACGGCCUUCGGGUUGUAAACCGCUUUCGCCUGUGACGAAGCGUGGGUGACGGUAAUGGGUAAAGAAGCACCGGCUAACUACGUG